UGGGGAAUGUUGGACAAUGGGGGCAACCCUGAUCCAGCCAUGCCGCGUGUGUGAAGAAGGCCUUUUGGUUGUAAAGCACUUUAAGCAGUGAAGAAGACUCCAUGGUUAAUACCCAUGGACGAUGACAUUAGCUGCAGAAUAAGCACCGGCUAACUCUGUGCCAGCAGCCGCGGUAAUACAGAGGGUGCAAGCGUUAAUCGGAAUUACUGGGCGUAAAGCGAGCGUAGGUGGCUUGAUAAGUCAGAUGUGAAAGCCCCGGGCUUAACCUGGGAACGGCAUCUGAUACUGUUAGGCUAGAGUAGGUGAGAGGAAGGUAGAAUUCCAGGUGUAGCGGUGAAAUGCGUAGAGAUCUGGAGGAAUACCGAUGGCGAAGGCAGCCUUCUGGCAUCAUACUGACACUGAGGUUCGAAAGCGUGGGUAGCAAACAG
Molecule: ribosomal RNA, 428 nt
Filed under: uncultured bacterium
Lineage: Bacteria
Description: bacterial SSU rRNA
Rfam family: Bacterial small subunit ribosomal RNA
Source: RNAcentral